RNAcentral lists this ribosomal RNA (680 nucleotides) under Streptomyces viridosporus. Its description in RNAcentral is "bacterial SSU rRNA". It matches the Rfam family "Bacterial small subunit ribosomal RNA", at positions 103 to 796 of the family's 1533-position model. Lineage: Bacteria; Bacillati; Actinomycetota; Actinomycetes; Kitasatosporales; Streptomycetaceae. The record is from RNAcentral.
CGGGUGAGUAACACGUGGGCAAUCUGCCCUGCACUCUGGGACAAGCCCUGGAAACGGGGUCUAAUACCGGAUACUGAUCCUCGCAGGCAUCUGUGAGGUUCGAAAGCUCCGGCGGUGCAGGAUGAGCCCGCGGCCUAUCAGCUUGUUGGUGAGGUAAUGGCUCACCAAGGCGACGACGGGUAGCCGGCCUGAGAGGGCGACCGGCCACACUGGGACUGAGACACGGCCCAGACUCCUACGGGAGGCAGCAGUGGGGAAUAUUGCACAAUGGGCGAAAGCCUGAUGCAGCGACGCCGCGUGAGGGAUGACGGCCUUCGGGUUGUAAACCUCUUUCAGCAGGGAAGAAGCGAAAGUGACGGUACCUGCAGAAGAAGCGCCGGCUAACUACGUGCCAGCAGCCGCGGUAAUACGUAGGGCGCGAGCGUUGUCCGGAAUUAUUGGGCGUAAAGAGCUCGUAGGCGGCUUGUCACGUCGGUUGUGAAAGCCCGGGGCUUAACCCCGGGUCUGCAGUCGAUACGGGCAGGCUAGAGUUCGGUAGGGGAGAUCGGAAUUCCUGGUGUAGCGGUGAAAUGCGCAGAUAUCAGGAGGAACACCGGUGGCGAAGGCGGAUCUCUGGGCCGAUACUGACGCUGAGGAGCGAAAGCGUGGGGAGCGAACAGGAUUAGAUACCCUGGUAGUCC